Molecule: ribosomal RNA, 500 nt
Filed under: uncultured bacterium
Lineage: Bacteria
Description: bacterial SSU rRNA
Rfam family: Bacterial small subunit ribosomal RNA
Source: RNAcentral
GAUGAACGCUGGCGGCGUGCCUAAUACAUGCAAGUCGAACGGUGAGGAGCAAUCCUCACAGUGGCGAACGGGUGAGUAACGCGUUGGUGACCUGCCCCGGAGUGUGGGAUACCAGGCCGAAAGGCUUGCUAAUACCGCAUGAGCUUAGGGAGUUUAGAAGAUUCUAAGCAAAGGAGAAAUCCGCCCUGGGAGGGGCCUGCGACCCAUCAGCUAGUUGGUAAGGUAACGGCUUACCAAGGCGAUGACGGGUAGGGGACCUGAGAGGGUGACCCCCCACAAUGGAACUGAAACACGGUCCAUACACCUACGGGUGGCAGCAGUAGGGAAUAUUGCUUAAUGGGCGCAAGCCUGAAGCAGCAACGCCGCGUGUGCGAUGAAGGCCUUCGGGUCGUAAAGCACUUUUUGCUGGGAAAAGGAAGGAUGGUACCAGCAGAAUAAGCCUCGGCUAACUACGUGCCAGCAGCCGCGGUAAAACGUAGGAGGCGAGCGUUAUCCGGAUU